Molecule: non-coding RNA, 189 nt
Filed under: Phenylobacterium zucineum
Lineage: Bacteria; Pseudomonadati; Pseudomonadota; Alphaproteobacteria; Caulobacterales; Caulobacteraceae
Description: Manganese sequence
Rfam family: Manganese Mn2+ riboswitch aptamer (yybP-ykoY) (bases 1-137)
About the family: This RNA was originally discovered in E. coli during a large scale screen and was named SraF. The family was later found to exist upstream of related families of protein genes in many bacteria, including the the yybP and ykoK genes in B. subtilis.
Source: RNAcentral
CCCAAGGUCACUGGGGAGUAGCCGUCCGCGCGUUUCAGCGGAGGGUGCGUCAACAAACUUGGUCCGGAAUGUCUUCCAGACCAUGGCGCAUCCAGCCCGAUGGGCCUGGCGAGACCUUUGGUUUUCACGUGUCGAUUCGAGCGGGAUCGUCGGCGUGAGAUGCCAUUGGUCCUGUUUUGAUCCCGCCGU